CCUAUAUGCGACCGAUCGCGCUCGAAAGAGUGAGGAAAGUCCGGACUCCAUAGGGCAUGGGACUCGGUUGUUAAAGCCGAGGGUGUAAUGGCAAACGUUGCAGACGGAAAGCGCCACAGAAACAAACCGCCUGCUUUCGGGCAGGUAAGGGUGAAAAGGCGGUGUAAGAGACCACCGGAAUGGGAAGACCAUUUGCAAGGCAAGCCCUCCCAGGAGCAAGAUCAAAUAGAGAAUUGAGCGAGCUGCCCGUUCGCCCCGAACCUACGGGUGAGGUUAAAUUCUGGGUUGAUUGCGAUAGAUGAAUGAUCGGAUUUGCCGCAAGGCAAAGAACAGAAUCUGGCUUAUUCGCAAGGCUUU
RNAcentral lists this RNase P RNA (357 nucleotides) under Kiritimatiellia bacterium. RNAcentral describes it as "Kiritimatiellae bacterium (gut metagenome) RNase P RNA component class A". It matches the Rfam family "Bacterial RNase P class A". Rfam says of the family: Ribonuclease P (RNase P) is a ubiquitous endoribonuclease, found in archaea, bacteria and eukarya as well as chloroplasts and mitochondria. Its best characterised activity is the generation of mature 5'-ends of tRNAs by cleaving the 5'-leader elements of precursor-tRNAs. Lineage: Bacteria; Pseudomonadati; Kiritimatiellota; Kiritimatiellia. The record is from RNAcentral.